This 245-nucleotide long non-coding RNA is filed under the name Elaeis guineensis (African oil palm). Its description in RNAcentral is "long non-coding RNA (EGUI_LNC031535)". The record is from RNAcentral. Lineage: Eukaryota; Viridiplantae; Streptophyta; Magnoliopsida; Arecales; Arecaceae.
GCAGGCGAAUGAAUUAUAUAUGAAGUGCUUUGAGAUUUGUGUAGACAAAUGGAUCAUAAAUUGAGCCUUUAAAAUCUGUGCAGGCAAAUAGAUGAUAAAGAAUAGAACUCUUUCUACAUGAAAAAAAUAAAACUCUUUGAGAUAUGUGCAUGCGGAUGGACGAUUGAGGCUAGAGCACUUUAAGAUCUCUACUGGUAAAUGAUGAUAAAUGAUGGAGUGCUUUAAGAUCAAUACAAGUGGAUGAA